CUACGGGCGGCACCAGUGGGGAAUAUUGCACAAUGGAGGAAACUCUGAUGCAGCAACGCCGCGUGGAGGAUGACACUUUUCGGAGCGUAAACUCCUUUUAUAUAGGAAGAUAAUGACGGUACUAUAUGAAUAAGCACCGGCUAACUCCGUGCCAGCAGCCGCGGUAAUACGGAGGGUGCAAGCGUUACUCGGAAUCACUGGGCGUAAAGAGCGUGUAGGCGGGUUAAUAAGUCAGAAGUGAAAUCCUAUGGCUCAACCAUAGAACUGCUUUUGAAACUGUUAACCUAGAAUAUGGGAGAGGUAGAUGGAAUUUCUGGUGUAGGGGUAAAAUCCGUAGAGAUCAGAAGGAAUACCGAUUGCGAAGGCGAUCUACUGGAACAUUAUUGACGCUGAGACGCGAAAGCGUGGGGAGCAAACAGGAUUAGAUACCCCCGUAGUC
This 439-nucleotide ribosomal RNA is filed under the name uncultured bacterium. RNAcentral's name for it is "partial 16S ribosomal RNA". It matches the Rfam family "Bacterial small subunit ribosomal RNA", at positions 339 to 795 of the family's 1533-position model. The record is from RNAcentral.